UACGAAGGGGGCUAGCGUUGCUCGGAAGCACUGGGCGUAAAGGGUGCGUAGGCGGGUCUUUAAGUCAGGGGGGAAAUCCUGGAGCUCAACUCCAGAACUGCCUUUGAUACUGAAGAUCUUGAGUUCGGGAGAGGUGAGUGGAACUGCGAGUGUAGAGGUGAAAUUCGUAGAUAUUCGCAAGAACACCAGUGGCGAAGGCGGCUCACUGGCCCGAUACUGACGCUGAGGCACGAAAGCGUGGGGAGCAAACAGG
RNAcentral lists this ribosomal RNA (253 nucleotides) under uncultured bacterium. Its description in RNAcentral is "partial 16S ribosomal RNA". It matches the Rfam family "Bacterial small subunit ribosomal RNA", at positions 524 to 776 of the family's 1533-position model. The record is from RNAcentral.